CCCCUACGGGAGGCAGCAGUGAGGAAUAUUGGUCAAUGGACGUAAGUCUGAACCAGCCAAGUAGCGUGCAGGAUGACGGCCCUAUGGGUUGUAAACUGCUUUUGUUAGGGAGUAAAUGAAGGCACGUGUGCUUUUUUGCAUUUACCUUUCGAAUAAGGACCGGCUAAUUCCGUGCCAGCAGCCGCGGUAAUGGGG
Molecule: ribosomal RNA, 195 nt
Filed under: uncultured bacterium
Lineage: Bacteria
Description: partial 16S ribosomal RNA
Rfam family: Bacterial small subunit ribosomal RNA
Source: RNAcentral